This is a long non-coding RNA of Rhododendron vialii, 664 nucleotides long. RefSeq lists it as uncharacterized. Lineage: Eukaryota; Viridiplantae; Streptophyta; Magnoliopsida; Ericales; Ericaceae. The record is from RefSeq and is a predicted model, not a curated record. The transcript has 2 exons.
GAACUUAACCAUAACUCCAUGCAAUGAUGUACCACGAUAAUUUUCUCUAAAUCACAAUUCAUGUAACUUGUUAAUCCAUGAGAUGACCCUUGAAUGACCGAUGCUACCCCUAAUUAGGAUCUCCGCCAUUGCCGAAGUACCGUCAACCACUUGUUGAUUCCAUCAAUGACUCUUCUUCCAUCGGGACCGGGCCAUUGGUCCGGAGAUUUUGUGACAUAGAAUUUGUAUUUGGGGUACGGUAUCUGGAACAUAGAACGGUAGAAGCAGGUGAAAGUUGAGCCUUGGAAUUCUUAUUUCAUGUAGGGUAUUGUCCUUCCUCUUUGCCAUGGCCGUGACACACUGUUGAACCAAUUAGAUCUUGCACUGUAUGGUGUGAUUUUCUUUUUCUUUUUCUUUUUCUUUUUUAAUAUUUCUUGCUUGUGCGGGCCAAACCACCAAAAUAUUGUUUUCUAAUUAGAUUUCCACAUUUUUCGGUUCCUGCUCAUCUGAUUGAGUCUUCCAAAGUAUAUAGAUCGCAUUAGCAAUCAGCCAAAACAUAAACAUAACCAGAAUCAAGUGAAAAAAACUCAUCAAUUACUUUACUAAAAAACAUGGAACUGCCAAUUUCCUCAACAUAAAAGAGACUAGUAGCUAAACAAACACGUAGUCAACAGCAAAAGAAAAG